UAUAUUUUAGUGUAUGAUGCACAAGGAUUUUUGAUUUCCUUAGAAAAAGUUUAAUUCUUUUAAAUAUAA
Molecule: transfer RNA, 69 nt
Filed under: Renocera pallida
Lineage: Eukaryota; Metazoa; Arthropoda; Insecta; Diptera; Sciomyzidae
Description: tRNA-Gln
Source: RNAcentral